UACGUAGGUGGCGAGCGUUGUCCGGAAUUACUGGGCGUAAAGGGCGUGUAGGCGGACAUUUAAGUCAGGUGUGAAAAUUUCGGGCUUAACCCAAAAUGUGCAUUUGAUACUGGAUGUCUUGAGUGCAGGAGAGGGCAGUGGAAUUCCUAGUGUAGCGGUGAAAUGCGUAGAUAUUAGGAGGAACACCAGUGGCGAAGGCGGCUGCCUGGACUGUAACUGACGCUGAGGCGCGAAAGCGUGGGGAG
Molecule: ribosomal RNA, 245 nt
Filed under: uncultured Eubacteriales bacterium
Lineage: Bacteria; Bacillati; Bacillota; Clostridia; Eubacteriales
Description: uncultured Clostridiales bacterium partial 16S ribosomal RNA
Rfam family: Bacterial small subunit ribosomal RNA
Source: RNAcentral